GAACUUAUUGUUCAGCGCGUAUGUAUUCUUAUACUCACGCUGAUCCUUCAAUGACGACAGUGUAAGGUAUGAUUUAGCAUCUUUAGCAUCUUUAAGGUAUGAUUUAGCAUCUUUAUGAUUUAGCAUCUUCAUAACAAGAAUCUGUCUUUCAUCCUCCAUAAUGGUGCACCAUUCAUUCGCAGACAAGUAGCGGGAAGCAGGAAAAGGGGGACUAGACGGCACCAGCAGUAAGUUGCCAUCAUGCAGGUGCAUUCACUGACAUUAUGCCUUGCCAUCUUAUAUUCCAAGGACACGAGCAGAAGGAGAAUCGCAAGGAACAGAACAAGCGCAAGGAUGGUAAGGUUAUGAUUCAUAUCCUGACAUUAUGCCUUGCCAUUUUAUAUUCCAAGGACACGAGCAGAAGGAGAANNNNNNNNNNNNNNNNNNNNNNNNNNNNNNNNNNNNNNNNNNNNNNNNNNNACCAUCCUUGCGCUUGUCCUGUUCCUUGCGAUUCUCCUUCUGCUCGUGUCCUUGGAAUGUAAAAUGGCAAGGCAUAAUGUCAGUGUAUGCACCUGCAUGAUGGCAACUUACAGAGGUCGGCAAAUAAGGCGGGUCCUGCGGGUCCGUACCACAGUACCCGCAGCCGAAAUUCGGCUUCAGGCCCCGGCUGCGGGUCCCUUAUCACCAAAAUUUGACCGAAAAACGUGGUUUGCAGCCUCUAUUGCGGCCCGUAGGGCCGCGCGCUGGUGUGUUUGACUUCGGAUUUUUUCUUAGGUUUACUGACCAUUAUUGUGCCCUCCCGCAGCCGUCAAAAUCGAUUUGCUGACCUCUGGAUAUGAACAAGAGUCGGGCUCAAAAGGGACGUGGCAGGCCACGUAGCGGCCGUUCGGAGGUAUGGUUGCCUCUGGUUGCAAGACCACGGCUACAGGUGCGAUCGCCUAAUUCCAAUAGUUUUGCCUUCCUAAGAGCCUCAGAAAUUCGGUGGUUGACGGAAUUUAGCGCGAUAAAUUGCAUUGGAUUCCUAUUCCAGUCCUAUAUGUACGACAAGGGUCGCAGAUUUUACUCUUGUGUCGUUGCACCGCAAUAAUGUGAAAUGUCGAUGGGGGUCAAAUAGGGGGGUCCUUGUGAAGCAGCUGCCCGCGUUUCCAACGCACGUAUGGUGUUGGAUUGUAAGGUGCCCAAGUACGUUUGCGAGGAAGAGAAUGUGGCCAGGCUGGAGAGGAAAGUGCAGUGGCAUAUUGGAAUGUGAGAUUAGCGUAAGCGAGUUACAGGGCGUUUGGCGCACGGGCGAAUUUACGUAGCAUCAGUCCUCAGUUCACUUCUUGGAACGAACAUCAGCAUAGGUCCAAGCCCUCUCGCUUGGAGGGAUAUGCAAACAAACAUCCUGAUAGGGGUAAACUCGCACGCUACCGAGCAUUCAACCGAGCAUAUGCAUGCUUAGUUGAAUGGUGAGAUGCGACCCCCCCUUCAUUUCGUGCUCGGCAAGCCUGCCACCGCGUACCGGAUAUGUUGGCGAUGUUACAGAGACGCUGCACCUUGGUUUCUGUGCGCAAUGCGACCCCGCCGACCAAAACUACACGUGCCCAACUGAAGACAUUCCCGGUGGUUGUGCAGCAGCUCUUGAGGCUGUUGCUGGCUGAAAUCCACCCAGAGCUGUUGCAACACGGCUAACGCGGGCACGUCCCUAUGCACAGCAAAUAGCUGUUCCAAGCCAACAGCGGCGUCCAUGUCACCGACAAGGCUCUAAACGUCUUAUCUGUUCUUAUGUUUAAUUAAGUUUAUGUAUGUUAUACUUUGCGCAACUUUGUAAUUUGACUUUACUCUGAAAAAGGUGCUGUAUAUGUUGCACUACCGAAUCCGCGCCCGUUUGCUUGCGCAAACUGCCGCUUCGCCAAACGCUUCCUCUUCCCGCGGUCGUUUCAAGCGCCCAGUCUUGCAAACCACGUUGUUUGCUUUCUGUGCUUUCAAUUACAUCAAAGCAGGCAUCCCAUUGUCCGGGCUGCAUGCCGCGUGCGCCUGUGGCCAGCAUGCCUUCCUGCGAUUCGCGCUGUCGCACCGCGGCCUUUCUUCUAAGAAAAUUUAUAUACACUUGUACACGCGCAUUUUGCGAAUCGCACGCGCGCAUCCGCGCGUUAAAAUUCGGUCCUGUCUUUGGGCCAUUUUGUACGGUCUGUUUAUUCGGCACAGUACGACCCCUCACAUUUGUGCGAGGGGCUGCUUAAAAAUCGCCUCCGCAGUUGAUCAUACGGUAAUUCCGAUACCCUCAGAACGAGCUCAUAUAGCGCAAUCCUGCCAGAAGCGCCACAAUAAUUACUUACUUGGGCGAGCCGCCCACAGUGUAACACCCCAUCAACUACUUUAAUAUCAUCACUUGGCUCAUUUAAGGUUGCCUUAGCAGUUAUUGAUUACGCCGCACGCCUAGGUUCUGCUCGAUUGCGCUCGGCAUCCCAAUCUUGUCGACAAACAAGGACAUGUCUCGCCACACUCGUUAAGAUUCAUUUAAGAUAACAUAAAUGACAUAGGUAAUAAGCAUAAAACUUGUACAUGCCUCAUCACUGUACAUUGCUGGCUCGGGCGCAAUUCUGACAAUUUCUCGGCGCGACCCAAAGCCAAAGCGACUAUUUUAGCUGGACCUGCUCAGAAUCCUUCGUGUAUUUAUUUAAAUGGAUGAUUUAUGCUCUCAUAAGGCCGUCGCGUGCGUAUCUGUGCACCGAGCAUGUUCAAAUGUCCUGGACCCUGGGGUCGGGUGUCUCCGGAACCAAUAAGGCCUUCUUCCUUGCAACUAUUCUUGCUUGGCUCAAGUAUAGCAUAUUAACCUUCUAAUUAUGAAUUGUAUCAUAAUUAUAAUGCUCCCUAGACACGGAAAUCUGUAAUUAUCGGAUUUACCCACUUAUCGGAAUUAUGCGAUAGCACCUGUAUUAUCUAAUUGCUUUUUAUUGCCUUAUUCCGAGGCACGUUAUGCCGGUGUCACACCUACAGCCAUCAUUGUACGCAACAUGCUCACAACUAUGUCUUCCUGCUUAAACAAUGAUUUGUGGUGAUCCUUUCAUAUGCAGAAAUAUGCCGUCGUUCGUGAAGAUGACACCAGCGGAGGCGAGGAUCGAGCGCUUUAAUAAGAAGACAAUAGUGGCUGUAUUGUGGUACAUUUACAUGCGCUUUACAUUUGUGUGUCCAUUUUUUCUGACGCUUAGACUGUUGAACCCGUUUACAUGGUAAGAGUUGCUGGCUGAGUUGCAUCGGUCAUGUUAGGAUUUGCUAUGAAUUCGUACCUGUUAUUCAGGGAUAGUUGAAAUGUAUGAAGAAAACAGUGAGCGCUGUGGUUCACAGUUCAUGUGCAACGUCGGUGCACUUUAUACAGCUCGUGUACUGCUAUUGUAAAGCAUUGUAUUGCACGGUUGGCCGUACAGUUCGCAGUCCCGCACGCAAAUCGCAGUCAAUUGCGUUAAAUUCAAGUGUUAGCACUUAGGUUUGCGAAAAUUCUGCGAAUGCAUUUGUGAAAGUCGCAAACGCACAUGCAAUCUCAGGAUUCACAGUCGCGUAUGCCAUUCGCAAUCCCGUUCGCGUUAAAAGUUACCUGGUCGCGUUUAGGGUCGCGUAAAACUCGUGAUAUCAUUCGCCGCGUUCCCACAUGCAUAUGCAUUCGCACCUCUGCAGCCGCGUAUGCCAUUCGCAGACGUUUGCGUUAUACCUAUAGGUAAGCUAACGCUCGCGUUAAAAGUGACCUGGUCGCGUU
RNAcentral lists this long non-coding RNA (3712 nucleotides) under Volvox carteri. RNAcentral's name for it is "long non-coding RNA (VCAR_LNC000740)". The record is from RNAcentral. Lineage: Eukaryota; Viridiplantae; Chlorophyta; Chlorophyceae; Chlamydomonadales; Volvocaceae.